Molecule: ribosomal RNA, 449 nt
Filed under: uncultured bacterium
Lineage: Bacteria
Description: partial 16S ribosomal RNA
Rfam family: Bacterial small subunit ribosomal RNA
Source: RNAcentral
AGUGAACGCUGGCGGCAGGCCUAACACAUGCAAGUCGAACGAAGUCUUCGGACUUAGUGGCGGACGGGUGAGUAACACGUGGGAACGUACCAUUAGGUUCGGAAUAACUCAGGGAAACUUGUGCUAAUACCGAAUGUGCCCUUCGGGGGAAAGAUUUAUCGCCUUUAGAGCGGCCCGCGUCUGAUUAGUUAGUUGGUGAGGUAAAGGCUCACCAAGGCGACGAUCAGUAGCUGGUCUGAGAGGAUGAUCAGCCACAUUGGGACUGAGACAUGGCCCAAACCCCUACGGGAGGCAGCAGUGGGGAAUCUUGCGCAAUGGGCGAAAGCCUGACGCAGCCAUGCCGCGUGAAUGAUGAAGGUCUUAGGAUUGUAAAAUUCUUUCACCGGGGACGAUAAUGACGGUACCCGGAGAAGAAGCCCCGGCUAACUUCGUGCCAGCCGCCGCCGUAA